This 770-nucleotide ribosomal RNA is filed under the name uncultured bacterium. RNAcentral describes it as "bacterial SSU rRNA". It matches the Rfam family "Bacterial small subunit ribosomal RNA", at positions 8 to 796 of the family's 1533-position model. The record is from RNAcentral.
AGAGUUUGAUCCUGGCUCAGGACGAACGCUGGCGGCGUGCUUAACACAUGCAAGUCGAGCGGAAAGGCCCUUCGGGGUACUCGAGCGGCGAACGGGUGAGUAACACGUGAGGAACCUGCCCCUGGCUCUGGGAUAGCUCCGGGAAACCGGGAUUAAUACCGGAUAUGACCACUUGAUGCAUGUCUUGUGGUGGAAAGUUUUUCGGCUGGGGAUGGCCUCGCGGCCUAUCAGCUUGUUGGUGGGGUGAUGGCCUACCAAGGCGACGACGGGUAGCCGGCCUGAGAGGGCGACCGGCCACACUGGGACUGAGACACGGCCCAGACUCCUACGGGAGGCAGCAGUGGGGAAUAUUGCGCAAUGGGCGGAAGCCUGACGCAGCGACGCCGCGUGGGGGAUGACGGCCUUCGGGUUGUAAACCUCUUUCAGCAGGGACGAAGCUAACGUGACGGUACCUGCAGAAGAAGCGCCGGCUAACUACGUGCCAGCAGCCGCGGUAACACGUAGGGCGCAAGCGUUGUCCGGAAUUAUUGGGCGUAAAGAGCUCGUAGGCGGCCUGUUGCGUCUGCUGUGAAAUCCCGGGGCUUAACCCCGGGCUUGCAGUGGAUACGGGCAGGCUAGAGGCAGGCAGGGGAGAAUGGAAUUCCCGGUGUAGCGGUGAAAUGCGCAGAUAUCGGGAGGAACACCGGUGGCGAAGGCGGUUCUCUGGGCCUGUACUGACGCUGAGGAGCGAAAGCGUGGGGAGCGAACAGGAUUAGAUACCCUAGUAGUCC